Molecule: transfer RNA, 76 nt
Filed under: Alcaligenaceae bacterium
Lineage: Bacteria; Pseudomonadati; Pseudomonadota; Betaproteobacteria; Burkholderiales; Alcaligenaceae
Description: tRNA-Thr
Rfam family: tRNA
About the family: Transfer RNA (tRNA) molecules are approximately 80 nucleotides in length. Their secondary structure includes four short double-helical elements and three loops (D, anti-codon, and T loops).
Source: RNAcentral
GCCGGCUUAGCUCAGUUGGUAGAGCAGCGCACUUGUAAUGCGAAGGUCAACAGUUCGAUUCCGUUAGCCGGCACCA